This 396-nucleotide long non-coding RNA is filed under the name Mytilus galloprovincialis (Mediterranean mussel). Lineage: Eukaryota; Metazoa; Mollusca; Bivalvia; Mytilida; Mytilidae. The record is from RNAcentral.
AGGCCACACCAAUUUGAUUCCUUGUUCGACGGACCCGCCCGCACCUAUUUUUUUUUCAAAACAGAAUUUUUUUAUUUUUUUUAUAUUCCCGCUUCCCGCAUCCGGAAAUGUAAUCAUGUCCAUUUCCAGCACCGUUUUUUUUUGUAAAUAUUAUAAAAAGAUAUCAACAUUUGUUUUUAAAAUCACAGUCUAACCUGUAUAUAACGAUUUUAAACAUAAAAGCACCCCACCACACUGUGUAAAUAUCUGUGAGAAUAUUUGUUUCAGCAUGAAACCUAUUUAUCCAAGGGAGUGCUCCGAUAAAUUUACAACAGCGGAAAUACCUGUAAAGAACAAAAAAUUGGUUUCUUUCCCCCUUACUUAUAUUCCCUAUCAAAAAAUGUUCGUUGUUAGAAU